CCACGUGCCGCGCCGACGCAAUCUAAGUACUGGUCGCGACACGUCGCCGAAUACUUGUAGCACGCUUAUUUCGUUUAAUUUUUAUGCCACGGAAAAGUGUGCUGUAGUUAAAUGGAUAGCUCUGUGCCAAAUACCUACACCAAAAUGCCGAGAAAUUACAUAAGGAAGGCCCCUCAGCGGAUCCUCAUCUCAUCUCAGAUGACCAAAUAAUGAAGGCCAAUUAUUUUGAUCUCAAAGUGUGACUAUUGCCAAUAUAAAUAAUUUAAGACAAGAUUCACAUUAUAAUAGAUACAGGGUGGAAUUUUGUAAUGCCACCUGGAGGGAAAGUACUCUUAGUAAUGUAGAGGAAUCGAACCAACUAAAAUUUGUUAAAAAUUA
Long non-coding RNA from Ostrinia nubilalis (European corn borer), 378 nucleotides. RefSeq lists it as uncharacterized. The transcript has 2 exons. The record is from RefSeq and is a predicted model, not a curated record. Lineage: Eukaryota; Metazoa; Arthropoda; Insecta; Lepidoptera; Crambidae.